Molecule: ribosomal RNA, 448 nt
Filed under: uncultured bacterium
Lineage: Bacteria
Description: bacterial SSU rRNA
Rfam family: Bacterial small subunit ribosomal RNA
Source: RNAcentral
UGGGGAAUAUUGGACAAUGGGCGAAAGCCUGAUCCAGCCAUGCCGCGUGAGUGAUGAAGGCCUUAGGGUUGUAAUGCUCUUUUUGGCGGGGACGAUAAUGACGGUACCCGCAGAAUAAGCCCCGGCUAACUUCGUGCCAGCAGCCGCGGUAAUACGAAGGGGGCUAGCGUUGUUCGGAAUUACUGGGCGUAAAGCGCACGUAGGCGGAUCAGCAAGUCAGGGGUGAAAUCCCGGGGCUCAACCUCGGAACUGCCUCUGAUACUGCUAGUCUAGAGUCCGGAAGAGGUGGGUGGAAUUCCACGUGUAGCAGUGAAAUGCGUAGAUAUGUGGAGGAAUACCGAUGGCGAAGGCAGCCCCCUGGGAUAACACUGACGCUCAUGCACGAAAGCGUGGGGAGCAAACAGGAUUAGAUACCCUUGUAGUCCCUGAGCGGGCUGGCAAGGCGCAU